GCUGUCUUGAAUGCCUUGGAUAAAAUUGUGGAAGAAGGCAAAGUCCGCAAAGAGCCAGCCUGCAACGGGACACCCUGCGGCGCCAUGUGCAGAAACAGGAGGCCGAGAACCAGCAGCUGGCAGAUGCCGUCCUGGCAGGGCGGAGGCAGGUGGAGGAGCUGCAGCUACAGGUCCAGGCCCAGCAGCAGGCCUGGCAGGCUCUACACAGAGAACAGAGGGAGCUGGUUGCUGUGCUGAGGGAGCCUGAGUGAGGAGACCGCCAGCCCCAGAAGCAGAGGGCAGUCAAGGUCAAGAGCCUGUGGUCCAGCAUGCCUGGCCUGGGCGGGCUACCUCUGAGAACGGCUGAAAUGGUGCCCAGUCCAUCAGCAGUGAUGGAAUUUGCUGGAGGACUAGGCCAGAGCAAGCCUCACUGCCACUGUGCCUUUGGGGCACCCUUGGGGUUGGACAUACACCCCCUUUAGAUUCCUCUGUUUCUUCUACCUGGAUAAUUCUUGGCCAUGUUCUCUCUUCUCUAGGUUCAGGUCAGCUCUGCCCCUCCGCCCCCCUCCUGCUGGUUCCCCAGCCCUUUUCCCUGGCCCUGGCUUGGAGAAUCUGUUUUCAAUCUCCACUGAUUGCCCCCUUGCUGGCCAGCCCAGGGGCCUUUACCAUGUUCUCUCCACAUCCGUAAAUAAACUUCCUUCACUACACUG
Molecule: long non-coding RNA, 689 nt
Filed under: Homo sapiens (human)
Lineage: Eukaryota; Metazoa; Chordata; Mammalia; Primates; Hominidae
Description: HSALNT0015809
Source: RNAcentral